RNAcentral lists this ribosomal RNA (466 nucleotides) under uncultured bacterium. RNAcentral's name for it is "partial 16S ribosomal RNA". It matches the Rfam family "Bacterial small subunit ribosomal RNA", at positions 28 to 507 of the family's 1533-position model. The record is from RNAcentral.
GAUGAACGCUGGCGGCGUGCUUAACACAUGCAAGUCGAACGAUGAAGCUCAGCUUGCUGGGUGGAUUAGUGGCGAACGGGUGAGUAACACGUGAGUAACCUGCCCUUAACUCUGGGAUAAGCCUGGGAAACUAGGUCUAAUACCGGAUAGGAGCGCCUACCGCAUGGUGGGUGUUGGAAAGAUUUAUCGGUUUUGGAUGGACUCGCGGCCUAUCAGCUUGUUGGUGAGGUAAUGGCUCACCAAGGCGACGACGGGUAGCCGGCCUGAGAGGGUGACCGGCCACACUGGGACUGAGACACGGCCCAGACGCCUACGGGAGGCAGCAGGGGGGAAUAUUGCACAAUGGGCGAAAGCCUGAUGCAGCGACGCCGCGUGAGGGAUGACGGCCUUCGGGUUGUAAACCUCUUUCAGUAGGGAAGAAGCGAAAGUGACGGUACCUGCAGAAGAAGCACCGGCUAACUACGUG